UAACCUAAAGUUCAGUGUUCCCCGGAUGAGU
This 31-nucleotide non-coding RNA is filed under the name Mus musculus (house mouse). The record is from RNAcentral. Lineage: Eukaryota; Metazoa; Chordata; Mammalia; Rodentia; Muridae.